Molecule: transfer RNA, 72 nt
Organism: Camelus ferus (Wild Bactrian camel)
Lineage: Eukaryota; Metazoa; Chordata; Mammalia; Artiodactyla; Camelidae
Rfam family: tRNA
About the family: Transfer RNA (tRNA) molecules are approximately 80 nucleotides in length.
Source: Rfam
GAGGAUAUAGCUCAGUGGUAGAUCGCGUGCUUAGCAUGCAUGAGGUCCUGGGUUCAAUUCCCAGUACCUCCA